GAUGAACGCUGGCGGCGUGCUUAACACAUGCAAGUCGAACGGAAAGGCUCCUGCUUGCAGGGGUACUCGAGUGGCGAACGGGUGAGUAACACGUGGGUGAUCUGCCCUGCACUUCGGGAUAAGCCUGGGAAACUGGGUCUAAUACCGGAUAGGACGAUGGUUUGGAUGCCAUUGUGGAAAGUUUUUCGGUGUGGGAUGAGCUCGCGGCCUAUCAGCUUGUUGUUGGGGUAAUGGCCUACCAAGGCGUCGACUGGUAGCCGGCCUGAGAGGGUGUACGGCCACAUUGGGACUGAGAUACGGCCCAGACUCCUACGGGAGGCAGCAGUGGGGAAUAUUGCACAAUGGGCGCAAGCCUGAUGCAGCGACGCCGCGUGGGGGAUGACGGCCUUCGGGUUGUAAACUCCUUUCGCUAGGGACGAAGCGCAAGUGACGGUACCUGGAGAAGAAGCACCGGCUAACUACGUG
Molecule: ribosomal RNA, 465 nt
Filed under: uncultured bacterium
Lineage: Bacteria
Description: partial 16S ribosomal RNA
Rfam family: Bacterial small subunit ribosomal RNA
Source: RNAcentral